Molecule: ribosomal RNA, 303 nt
Filed under: uncultured bacterium
Lineage: Bacteria
Description: partial 16S ribosomal RNA
Rfam family: Bacterial small subunit ribosomal RNA
Source: RNAcentral
AGCAGUAGCCACGGUAAAACGUAGGUGGCAAGCGUUGUCCGGAAUUAUUGGGCGUAAAGGGCUCGCAGGCGGUUUCUUAAGUCUGAUGUGAAAGCCCCCGGCUCAACCGGGGAGGGUCAUUGGAAACUGGGAAACUUGAGUGCAGAAGAGGAGAGUGGAAUUCCACGUGUAGCGGUGAAAUGCGUAGAGAUGUGGAGGAACACCAGUGGCGAAGGCGACUCUCUGGUCUGUAACUGACGCUGAGGAGCGAAAGCGUGGGGAGCGAACAGGAUUAGAUACCCGAGUAUCCCUGUCUCUUAUACA